Molecule: ribosomal RNA, 253 nt
Filed under: uncultured bacterium
Lineage: Bacteria
Description: partial 16S ribosomal RNA
Rfam family: Bacterial small subunit ribosomal RNA
Source: RNAcentral
UACGGAGGGGACUAGCGUUGUUCGGAAUUACUGGGCGUAAAGCGCACGUAGGCGGAUUUGUAAGUCAGGGGUGAAAUCCCGGGGCUCAACCUCGGAACUGCCUUUGAUACUGCAAAUCUCGAGUCCGGAAGAGGUGAGUGGAAUUCCUAGUGUAGAGGUGAAAUUCGCAGAUAUCAGGAAGAACACCAAUGGCGAAGGCAGCCUUCUGGGCCAACACUGACGCUCAUGCACGAAAGCGUGGGGAGCAAACAGG